This 253-nucleotide ribosomal RNA is filed under the name uncultured bacterium. RNAcentral's name for it is "partial 16S ribosomal RNA". It matches the Rfam family "Bacterial small subunit ribosomal RNA", at positions 524 to 776 of the family's 1533-position model. The record is from RNAcentral.
UACGUAGGGGGCUAGCGUUAUCCGGAAUUAUUGGGCGUAAAGAGCGCGCAGGUGGUUAAUUAAGUCUGAUGUGAAAGCCCACGGCUUAACCGUGGAGGGUCAUUGGAAACUGGUUGACUUGAGUGCAGAAGAGGGAAGUGGAAUUCCAUGUGUAGCGGUGAAAUGCGUAGAGAUAUGGAGGAACACCAGUGGCGAAGGCGGCUUCCUGGUCUGCAACUGACACUGAGGCGCGAAAGCGUGGGGAGCAAACAGG